UAGCAAACCAGCCUGCUUCUCUGUGGGUGUAGAUUUUGUUAUCCUUCUUGCCAUUGCUCAGUUGUGUAAGCUUCACCCUACUCUCUCUCUUGUUUGACUCCAUUUUAUCUCCCACAGGAUAGCUAGAAAUGGUCACAGAACCUAACUUUAGGAACUCGAAUGUAUUCAGAUAGCCCUGUAUAUAUGAUGGGAUGAUGACAGGGUUUGUUAAAAGGCUGGUUUGUUAAAAGGAAGUUCAGCAUCCAAAGCAACUGCAUAUGGAAAAUGGGUUUCUUAAAAGGCAAUGGGCUAGAAGGUCAAGAUCCAAAGCAACUGUAUAUCAGAAAUGGAUAGAGUUAAUUAGUGUGCAUUGAAAAUAUUCCCUGUGAGAGCACGGUGAAAAAAGAAGUGAAGACAAUGCCAAUCCAUCUGUCUGGUCUGUCUAUUUCCAAAGGAAAACUGAAAGCACACUGGUGAGGAACAAAGCAGGAAUAAAAAAGUAUGCGACUUGAAGUCCAAAAUCAUA
Anolis carolinensis (green anole) is the source of this 505-nucleotide long non-coding RNA. RefSeq lists it as uncharacterized. The transcript has 2 exons. The record is from RefSeq and is a predicted model, not a curated record. NCBI's taxonomy places the organism in Eukaryota, Metazoa, Chordata, Lepidosauria, Squamata, Anolidae.